Molecule: ribosomal RNA, 242 nt
Filed under: Streptococcus dysgalactiae subsp. equisimilis
Lineage: Bacteria; Bacillati; Bacillota; Bacilli; Lactobacillales; Streptococcaceae
Description: partial 23S ribosomal RNA
Rfam family: Bacterial large subunit ribosomal RNA
Source: RNAcentral
AGAGGACCAGAGUGGACUUACCGCUGGUGUACCAGUUGUCUUGCCAAAGGCAUCGCUGGGUAGCUAUGUAGGGAAGGGAUAAGCGCUGAAAGCAUCUAAGUGCGAAGCCCCCCUCAAGAUGAGAUUUCCCAUGAUUUUAUAUCAGUAAGAGCCCUGAGAGAUGAUCAGGUAGAUAGGUUAGAAGUGGAAGUGUAGUGAUACAUGAAGCGGACUAAUACUAAUAGCUCGAGGACUUAUCCGAA